GAUGAACGCUAGCGAUAGGCCUAACACAUGCAAGUCGAGGGGCAGCAUAAGGAAGUAGCAAUACUUUCUGGUGGCGACCGGCGCACGGGUGAGUAACACGUAUGCAACCUGCCUUCAACAAGGGCAUAACCCGUUGAAAGACGGACUAAUACCCUAUAAUACAGGGGCCCCGCAUGGGGAUAUUUGUUAAAGAUUUAUCGGUUGAAGAUGGGCAUGCGUUCCAUUAGCUGGUUGGUGGGUAACGGCCCACCAAGGCAACGAUGGAUAGGGGAACUGAGAGGUUUAUCCCCCACACUGGUACUGAGACACGGACCAGACUCCUACGGGAGGCAGCAGUGAGGAAUAUUGGUCAAUGGACGCAAGUCUGAACCAGCCACGUCGCGUGAAGGAAGACGGCCCUAGGGUUGUAAACUUCUUUUGUAAGGGAAUAAAGUGUAGUACGCGUACUAUUUUGCAUGUACCUUACGAAUAAGGAUCGGCUAACUCCGUGCCAGCAGCCG
This 500-nucleotide ribosomal RNA is filed under the name uncultured bacterium. RNAcentral's name for it is "bacterial SSU rRNA". It matches the Rfam family "Bacterial small subunit ribosomal RNA", at positions 28 to 517 of the family's 1533-position model. The record is from RNAcentral.